Molecule: ribosomal RNA, 493 nt
Filed under: uncultured bacterium
Lineage: Bacteria
Description: bacterial SSU rRNA
Rfam family: Bacterial small subunit ribosomal RNA
Source: RNAcentral
AGUGAACGCUGGCGGCAGGCCUAAUACAUGCAAGUCGAACGGCAGCACAGCAGAGCUUGCUCUGUGGGUGGCGAGUGGCGGACGGGUGAGGAAUACAUGGGAAUCUGCCCAGUCGUGGGGGAUAACGUAUGGAAACGUACGCUAAUACCGCAUGCGCCCUAAGGGGGAAAGCCGGGGACCGCAAGGCCUGGCGCGAUUGGAUGAGCCCAUGUUCGAUUAGCUAGUUGGCGGGGUAAAGGCCCACCAAGGCGACGAUCGAUAGCUGGUCUGAGAGGAUGAUCAGCCACACUGGAACUGAGACACGGUCCAGACUCCUACGGGAGGCAGCAGUAGGGAAUAUUGGACAAUGGGGGCAACCCUGAUCCAGCCAUGCCGCGUGAGUGAAGAAGGCCCUCGGGUUGUAAAGCUCUUUUGUCCGGAAAGAAAGCAAUCGGUUAAUACCCGGUUGUUCUGACGGUACCGGAAGAAUAAGCACCGGCUAACUUCGUGCCAG